This 132-nucleotide ribosomal RNA is filed under the name Phlebotomus papatasi. RNAcentral describes it as "partial 5.8S ribosomal RNA". It matches the Rfam family "5.8S ribosomal RNA", at positions 44 to 154 of the family's 154-position model. From Rfam's summary of the family: 5.8S ribosomal RNA (5.8S rRNA) is a component of the large subunit of the eukaryotic ribosome. It is transcribed by RNA polymerase I as part of the 45S precursor that also contains 18S and 28S rRNA. Functionally, it is thought that 5.8S rRNA may be involved in ribosome translocation. The record is from RNAcentral. Lineage: Eukaryota; Metazoa; Arthropoda; Insecta; Diptera; Psychodidae.
CGCAGCUAACUGUGUGAAAUCGUGUGAACUGCAGGACACAUGAACAUCGACAUUUUGAACGCAUAUUGCGGUCCAUGCAAAAGUUUAAAUUUUUGUUUAAACUGCAUGGACCACGUAUGGAUGGUUGAGUGU